RNAcentral lists this ribosomal RNA (468 nucleotides) under uncultured bacterium. RNAcentral describes it as "partial 16S ribosomal RNA". It matches the Rfam family "Bacterial small subunit ribosomal RNA", at positions 28 to 507 of the family's 1533-position model. The record is from RNAcentral.
GACGAACGCUGGCGGCGUGCUUAACACAUGCCAGUCGAACGGAAAGGCCCUGCUUUUGUGGGGUGCUCGAGUGGCGAACGGGUGAGUAACACGUGAGUAACCUGCCCUUGACUUUGGGAUAACUUCAGGAAACUGGGGCUAAUACCGGCUAGGAGCUCCCGCUGCAUGGUGGGGGCUGGAAAGUUUCGGCGGUUGGGGAUGGACUCGCGGCUUAUCAGCUUGUUGGGGGGGUAGUGGCUUACCAAGGCUUUGACGGGUAGCAGGCCUGGGAGGGUGACCGGCCCCAUUAGGACUGGGAUGCGGCCCAGACUCCUACGGGAGGCAACAGUGGAGAAUAGUGCAUAAUGGGAGGAAGCCUGGUGCAACCACGCCGCGUGGGGGAUGACGGGCUUCGGGUUGUAUACCACUUUCGCCUUUGACGAAGCGUGAAUGACAGUAAUGGGUAAAGAAGCACCGGCUAACUACGUG